RNAcentral lists this ribosomal RNA (437 nucleotides) under uncultured bacterium. RNAcentral's name for it is "partial 16S ribosomal RNA". It matches the Rfam family "Bacterial small subunit ribosomal RNA", at positions 29 to 507 of the family's 1533-position model. The record is from RNAcentral.
AGCGAACGCUGGCGGCAGGCUUAACACAUGCAAGUCGAGCGGGCAUCCUUGUGGUGUCAGCGGCAGACGGGUGAGUAACGCGUGGGAACGUGCCCUUCGGUCCGGAAUAACUCAGGGAAACUUGAGCUAAUACCGGAUACGUGCGAGAGCAGAAAGGUUUAUCUGCCGAAGGAUCGGCCCGCGUCUGAUUAGCUAGUUGGUGAGGUUACGGCUCACCAAGGCGACGAUCAGUAGCUGGUCUGAGAGGAUGAUCAGCCACACUGGGACUGAGACACGGCCCAGACUCCUACGGGAGGCAGCAGUGGGGAAUAUUGGACAAUGGGGGCAACCCUGAUCCAGCCAUGCCGCGUGAGUGAUGACGGCCUUAGGGUUGUAAAGCUCUUUUCUCCGGGACGAUAAUGACGGUACCGGAGGAAUAAGCCCCGGCUAACUUCGUG